This 437-nucleotide ribosomal RNA is filed under the name Micrococcus sp. RNAcentral's name for it is "bacterial SSU rRNA". It matches the Rfam family "Bacterial small subunit ribosomal RNA", at positions 123 to 574 of the family's 1533-position model. Lineage: Bacteria; Bacillati; Actinomycetota; Actinomycetes; Micrococcales; Micrococcaceae. The record is from RNAcentral.
AACCUGCCCUUAACUCUGGGAUAAGCCUGGGAAACUGGGUCUAAUACCGGAUAGGAGCGUCCACCGCAUGGUGGGUGUUGGAAAGAUUUAUCGGUUUUGGAUGGACUCGCGGCCUAUCAGCUUGUUGGUGAGGUAAUGGCUCACCAAGGCGACGACGGGUAGCCGGCCUGAGAGGGUGACCGGCCACACUGGGACUGAGACACGGCCCAGACUCCUACGGGAGGCAGCAGUGGGGAAUAUUGCACAAUGGGCGCAAGCCUGAUGCAGCGACGCCGCGUGAGGGAUGACGGCCUUCGGGUUGUAAACCUCUUUCAGUAGGGAAGAAGCGAAAGUGACGGUACCUGCAGAAGAAGCACCGGCUAACUACGUGCCAGCAGCCGCGGUAAUACGUAGGGUGCGAGCGUUAUCCGGAAUUAUUGGGCGUAAAGAGCUCGUAG